CCUGCCCCUGCGGUGAGGGAGGGAGAUGACUGGCACAUCCAGUCAGUCUUUAAACAGAUGGGUGUCUCUGCCACGCUCCAGGCCCAGGGGCAGACACAAGACACCGAUCCCGCAUGGCUGGGGCUGAGGCACUGUUUGGUCCCACUGAGCAGCCCUAUAUCACACUGCCAGGAUGUGCAAGGACGAAUAAGAGCCCGACCUUGCCCUAGAGGCGCUCAAGUACUUGUGAGGGGAAAACAGACUCGCAAAUAGAUAAUGCCCCAGGACAAGUGCCGUAAAAAAGAGGAGGAGAAUAUGGGAGGUGCAGAGGAGAGGCGGUAGGCCCCGCGGCCACUUAGAAGGCGGAAGCGUGUCCGGGCUGAGAUGAGAAUCCGCAAGGACUGACAGGUUGGGACCAGGCGGCGGCCAGGGAGCUGGGAGCCGGCAGGUUGAAUCUCAAACCUCCAUCGGUCUGGAUAGAGAGACUCUAAGCAUGAGGCUGCUCCGGUUUUCCUCACUGCCCAGCGCCGGCGGUCCAGCGUGGGUGUGGAGAUGCACAGGAAACGGGGGACUCUGAGUCACCCACAUUUUUGAGGGGUGGGGAGGAGCUGGACCUUCCUCACAGAGCUGAGAGAUCGGGGGAGUUAGAGCCAGGCCUGGCUGGAGGGUCGGACGUCUGAGUUGCGUGUGCCAUCAGCAGGGGGGCGUGGCCAGGAGAACAGAGAUAAGCAGAAACCCGCCCAUUUGGUGGCCUAGGGAGGGGGCCGCGGGGCGGGGCCCCCUGUGGCCAGCAGAGGGCGCGCGGGAGGCGGGCCGGCCCUGGAGAGGGCUCCCGCGAGGGCGGCGGCGAGGUGGCGGCGCGGGCCCGGGCGCCCUCUGCCGGGCCGGCCCCGGAAGCCCGGACUCGCCGCUUCCGCAGCGGAGUCUCCCCUCCCGCUCUCCCGCCGCGCGCGCUGGGCUGCGCUCAGAAUCCCCCAGGGAACGGGGGUCCAGCCCUGGAGAAGCCGUCUAGGUCUGGGACAGCCAGUUCUGGGGCCACCCGUCGCAUUGUUGGGCUCCCUCUCCGGCUUCUCGGACCGUUGGCUCUCCAGCUUUUGCUCGAUCUCCUCCGGGGACCCCCCAGCACCCUCAACAUGCAUGUACCUCCUUUCAACCGAACAGGACAGGAGUGCGGCCCCAUUUCACAGAGGGUCACCCAGGGGAAACAGAGGAGCGAGAGGACUCCGGCCCGGCUGGCGCAGGCAGGGCAAGGUUCCCGAAGGAGCCCUCGGAACAGGAAUAGGGGUACAGGAAGGACGUUUCUGGAAGUGCCCUGAGCGCGCCAAAGCGGGGGGCAGGCGGGCGAGGUGCCGCCGGAGCCCCUCUGCGGAUCUUCGAGGAGGUCGGCGCUGCCCAUGUGGGGUCCGAGACUCGGACUCUCCAGACACAGCCCGCCCCAUCCGGCUGGGGAGAGGUCCCCGGCAAGCCCUGGGUGGAGCCAGGUCCCGGGGCCACCCAGGCGUCUGUCGCGGUGGGCGGUGAGAGUGAGAGCACCUGGUCGUUCGCCGCCUACCCCUCGGGCCCCGCAGCCCCUUUCGUGCGGGAAGGACGGCCGCCUCCACCUAGGCUUCCGCCAACUUUAACCAUAUUAUCUCUCCUGCCCCUACGAGUUUCCACAGUAAGGGGGCGGGGGUUGCAGGUAAUUCGCCUUCAGCCCCCGGGAACGACGUCAUCAUUCCUUUACACCAUCCCCUCAGGUCUGACUCCAACGGGGAAGUCCUUCCUGGUGUCUGACCACCAUUCCUCCUGCUGCAACUUCAGCUAAACCUUACAAGUUCUGUCCUCAGCGGAGCAAGUGGGUGCUUUAACAUUCCUUCUCUUAGCUAAAUAAUCCAAAGCUCUAUUCCCUCUUCCACGCUGACAUCCCGUUUGCCCAUCCUGACAAGGCUUCCCUUUAAGGGCCCCGAUCUUUGCUUUCUGCCUGCUUUCACCGUCAAGAUAAUCCAAGAUUGCUUUCUGAUUGGCUGCCCCCUCCCUUCCAAUUUCCCCUUUCACUACAGGACCUCCCCGGCCGUACCAGUAUCCAAGUACCACGCGCCUGGGCGCGUAGAUGGACUCAGUUUCCUCGGUGGGAAGUUGCACUGCCUCUGUGGUGCCCCUCUGUUUAUGGGAGUUCUGCUCCACCGCACCUAGGUCAUCUCACCCAUCCCCCAGCUUCUGAACAGGAUGCCGCCACAUUCUGUCAUUGAUCUCAAAACUAUUUGAGCGCCUACUAUGCCUCCGGUCCGAGUUCCUCGCCUCAACUCCCAGCCCCUCCGGCGGCUCCCUAGGCUUAGAGGAAGGAGCGGGAGAUCCAGGAGUACCGAUCUCCAGUCCAGGGCGCAGGGUAAGAGAGCUGAAGGUCGUCGGUGACUGGGUGAAGCCACUGGGGUAGGGCGGGGGUGGGCAGACGCCGGCGGGUCUGGGUGCUCAGGGGCCGCAGAAAGGACACUGCGCCACGCGCCGCUGCCUCCCAGCGCUCGAGCCCAGCGCGGGAUUUCCCAUUCUUAGCGCAAGGAAGACCCCUUGUGGCUGUUGUGAGAAGAGCCGGCGAAGAAAGGAGGCCAGAGCCGGGAGAUGACAGUCCCCUGCCCAGCCUCCCUGCUAUCCUGCCUGGGGUAGGGACUUGUUCCCUAGGGGGCCUUCGUGGCUCGCUAUGCCCAGAAAUCCUCCACCCAUUCCCAUACCAUCAAAACCCAACAACUGGGACUUCGGGAAUAGAGUCUUCUCGCCAAAUCACAAGGAAAAAUAAAACACAAACAGUAGCAAGUGAGACUGUGGUUAGACUCCUGGAAGGACUUCUCUCGAAGCGGCUGGGAAGCAGGAGGAUGGAUUGCGAUGAAGGGAUGAAAGAAGACAGGCUUUCCGACCCUCCCCUUCCCUGGCAGUGGGGAGAGCGUUCUCCGAGUUCUCCGAGGAAUCCUCAGCCCCUGCCCUGCGGCUCCUUCCCGCUCACAGCGAAGGAAGCUCUCCCCAGCCGGGGGCUCAGGUAGUGUCAGCGCCAGGGGCCGUCCCUCUGCCCACCCUUAGGAGGGAUGGGGGGUGCGCAAGGUCAUCGAGGACAGGGACGGGACCCCACGUUCGUCACGAUAGACCGUUGCACUCCUGAGAAGAUGCAUCCCACCCCCACCCGCGUCUGAGCUCCUUUGGGGAGCGGAAGCGCGCUAACAGUGCUGCGCCCCUUCCCCCACCCUUUGACGCUGCUAGCUACCAAGCCCCGGCCCGGGCAAUGCAAAUUUGCAUACAUUUGCAUCCCCAGCUGCGCACAGCUGCAUCCGGCUUUGGGCCAUAAAUUCGUGGCGGGAGGCUCCGGGCGAGCGGGUCCCGCGCCGCCGCCGCGCCUGUUCGCGCCCCGGGGGCCGCGGGUUCUCACGCCUCCCUGAGCAGCCGCCGGCGCUGUCCGGCCCUGCCCCGCCUCGCGCCACCUUCUGGGCGUCUGUCUGCCUCGCAUGCCGCAGCUGCAGCUGCAGCCGCAGGCCAGGCCUGAACCCCCAGAUCCCCCUUUCUCCAUCUCUCCUGGACUCGACCGGGUCAUUGUCUCCUAAAUCUAUUCACGUCUCUCUGACGCCUCGGGCCGGGGGCUUCUGGUCAGAUUUUCGUGCCAGGACUAGUGGUAGCCUUCUAGGUGGCAGUCCUGCCUCCGUGGGUACCUUGCUAGAAAACAGGUCUGAUCAUGGUCAACAGCUUAAAACACUGCAGACCCCCUAGGCUUGCAGAAUAAAGCUUAUAUUGUUCACUCUCGCCAAGAAAAGCCCCUCACGUUCUGCCGCAUUCCUCCUUUCUUUAUCUUCAGUUUUGUCUCCUGCAUCGUAGCCAGACCCAGGCCCACAACAGCCUGUGCUUCAGUUACACAAAAUUGCAGGCGAGUCAUCAGACUCCCCGUGAGCUCUCUCCCUCUGCCUGCCCUUUACCUGCGCCUCGUCUCCACCUGGACCACCCCUCCCUCUUGUCUGUCCUCUGGGGAGAUCUCCCUAAUUUCUCUCACUUUGUUGCUGUGUCCCAGUUCCCACAGAGCUUGGUCCCAGGAGAUGCUCAGAAAUACUGAAUGAGUGAGUGAAUGAAUGAAUGAAGAAUAAAGCUGCAGUUGUCCCAGGCACUAGGAAUAUGACACACAUACAGACACUCAGGGCUCCACUGGUCCCAAGUGGCCUUCACAUGACCUCUGUGAGCCCACAGGAGAGCCCCUCUCCCCGGUCCUUUUGGGUCCUCUCAUACCUCUCCAGGCACCCCCAAGGGGGUGAGGGGUGAGAAGCCAGGAGGAUUAUGAGUGGGGGGAGCUGGCACAGUGACAGAGCACCUGACUCAGAGUCAAGAGGCCUAGGUUCAAACUCUAGUGCUGCAUGACCUUGGAAAAAUUAACUUCCUCUUGCUGAGGCUGUUUCCUCAACUGUCAAAAUGGGAAUAACAUUGACUAUUAAUAGGGAUUUCAUAAUAAUUGAAUGAAAUAGUUCAUGAAAUGUGUACUACCUGUCAAAAAGGGUUGGAUUCCUUGAGGUCCAGACAGACGAUGUGGGGAUCCAUCUUGCCCCCUUCCCCUGGGGAUGAAAGCACCUCCACGAAC
This 4558-nucleotide long non-coding RNA is filed under the name Equus caballus (horse). RNAcentral's name for it is "lncRNA (ENSECAG00000034590.2)". Lineage: Eukaryota; Metazoa; Chordata; Mammalia; Perissodactyla; Equidae. The record is from RNAcentral.